UUUGGAUUUAAGUGAGACAGAGUUGCACAGUUGUCAGUCUCAUUUUCUCUUCCAGAGUCAUCAAAAUCCAGUGGCCAUUCAAAAGUCAGAAUGAUGAGCAGUGGUCCCAUAUGCAUUGAGAAUCUUUGAUGUGAGAGUUGGAUGAGAGAAUGGAAGCUGGCUGAGAGAAAGAGCUGGACUCUGUUUCCCCCUUUCCCCCCUAAUUUGAAUUCCCAAAAGCUAACACAGUGUCUGCCAUCUAGCAAACAUCGCACUCAGAUAUUUCUGGUCUGAAGCACAAAGAAAUGAAAUGAUUUAUCUAAGGUCACCCAAGGAAAAUAUCUAAGGUAAGAUUUUAACCCAGGACUUCCUGGCCCUAAAAGAUAGCUCUAACCACUGUGUCAAGCUAGCUCUCCUGUGUAUAUAGCUAAAUAAAUGUAAAUUAAUAUGGAAUGUAAAUAUUUAC
RNAcentral lists this long non-coding RNA (445 nucleotides) under Monodelphis domestica (gray short-tailed opossum). Its description in RNAcentral is "lncRNA (ENSMODG00000050879.1)". Lineage: Eukaryota; Metazoa; Chordata; Mammalia; Didelphimorphia; Didelphidae. The record is from RNAcentral.